This 143-nucleotide small RNA is filed under the name Arabidopsis thaliana (thale cress). RNAcentral describes it as "ATSL193220". Lineage: Eukaryota; Viridiplantae; Streptophyta; Magnoliopsida; Brassicales; Brassicaceae. The record is from RNAcentral.
GAAAAAACAGCGGCUUUGCUUCCUCCGUUCCCUGAUUUUCAGAUGCCUGACACGUAGCUGCUAAUAUACUAAUCUUAGUUUUUGAGGACGGUGUAGAUAUGUUAAAGGCUUGGAUUCAAUCAUGACUAAAACAUUACCUGUAU